UUUGCUAAGAGAACAAAAAGUUUAAUGCAAACUUUAUCUUGUGUAAAUGGACGUUACGAAUGUAUCAAAUACAUAUCUUUCAAGGUAUGAUAUUUAUUUAUUUUUUGGUCAGAAAGGUAUUGUAUGAUAUUAAACACAGGAUUUUGAACUGAAAUACACAAUACUUAUCAAUAUAUAUACUUAUCAAGUUAGUCUUUUUUACUCCCAAUUUGAAAAACACGAAAGAGUAAUUGAGACCUAUAUAUGUCUUAAUGAAGCCAACUUGCCCAAAUUUAUUUCACUAUAAAUUUGAAUUAUGCUAUAUAUCCAAUGAUUACAAAGUUUGCUGUUGGUAUAUCCUACUCCUUGAAAACAUACUUUGAAAUAAGCAUUAUAAAUUAUAACCAAGCCUAUUUCAGUUCCAGUUGGUAUCUUAACGAAACUGGAUUGUUAAAGUUGAAACAUGUCAAAACCAAAGAGUGGUUUCAGCAUUUGAUCUUAAGCUAGAAGAGAUCAGAAAGAUGAGAUUGCCUCCAACGAUGCUGAGGGAUCCAUAUGUUCUUGGCUAUUAUUGGGUCUAUUUGGGCUUUUGUAUAUAUCGACAGAGUCGUUUAUUGUAUUAGGUUAACACAAUACUCUUGUCUAAAAAGGAUUUUGCCGUCACAUAAAAUAAAAAAGUAAAAUACUUUUUCAAUAAACCGACUCAUAUAUGUCGAUACAAACAAAGACCCAAUAUGUUAAGAACAAACACUUAAGUAGUUGUAAAAGGUUUUCAUAAAAGUGGUCUCGACAAUCGUUGAGAUUCAUUCCUUUAACGAAAAUGGUUGAAUUGGUUCCAAGAAGCUUCUCAUUGGACUGUAUGAGAAACCCCACUGAGACAACUAAGAUUGGUAUUCCUCAUACAUCCAUAUCCUAACUAUCCUUCUGAUUCCAAUUGUGCAAAUCCCUUGGCUUGAAGCAUUUGAUGCAAUUGCACAUUGGCAAGGUUAGUUGAUCACAAUUUCUACUAGCUACUAUAUAAUACUCAACGUUGUCGCAUCAACGAUAUUUUGGUCCUCAUACUCGACCUUGUUGCAUUAACGCUUGAUAGAAUUUCAAUAGAAUAGUUUCUAAUUCCAAAAACUAUAUAUAAGUUAUUACUUAAGUCAAAUCUAAAAAUUAGAUUUUUAGCGCAUUUCAUAAUAGAGUAUUUCUUCUAGUUGGUAAUUAAUAAUCAUUUGAAAUCUCGAGUUUAACCUACAACUUUUUGUCAAUUGUUUUACUAAUUUGCAUAUAUUUUGCUUGAAUUUUGCUUAUGUUUGUUAAAAAAAGUCUUUUAUUUUAGUUUUUUAUAUGAUGAUAAUUUUGUUUUGAUAGAGUUAUGAACUUGUAGUAAACAAAAUCAUCAUUAAAUGCACGAAAAAUUAAGUAUCAUGUAUAACCAAAAACCAAGAGUCAAACGGAUGAUGAUUUGAGAAGUUUUAAAGAAUUCAAACGGUUGUUUGUGCUCUAUUAUGCUUUGAUUUGCAACUCUUCUUCAAUGGGCUUAUGGGCACAGAGCAGAUAUAUAUCAUUGAUAUAUUACUAUACAUAUACAGUAUCGUGUGGGCCGGAUGUGCAUCAUCAUGAAUCUAAUAAAAAUUAAGUUUAUAGUAUAACCUUUUUCUAAAUGAUAUUUGAACUCUUCAACUCAUAUACAAAAUUAAUUAAUUCAUGGGACCUUCCUUCACGUUUUAAGUUUGUUAUAAAAUAAGUAAAAUUGAUUCAGUAAAUCGUCAUGACAAACCUGAUUUACGCCAAGUUUUACGUUCAUGCGAUUAUUUUCAGAACUUUAUGCAUGUUUUCAACCGUGCGAUUAAAUUUCAACGACCAAGUAAUCCACCAUUAACGGUUACAUUAGCGUACAAAUUUCGCCAUCAAUCUAAUUCCAAAUUACCUUGAUUUAGGGAAAAAUAAGAAUUAAUAUGCUAUACGACACCGUAUGAUGCAACCAGAUAUAAACUAUGGCUCUAACGGUUAACCGUAAUUAGGAUUCACUUCGAAAUAAAACUAAACAAAAAACGAAAGACUUCAAGUGUCUUAUAGUAUUUUUUUAGACAAAGUAACACGUGGAUUAAUACAGUUGGGCGUAUUAGAGUCUUUCACGGGAUUUGAUCAAUCUAUAAACUACUAUAAGUAGCCCAUCUUACCUUACUUAAUAUUAUCAUUUAUCA
RNAcentral lists this small RNA (2171 nucleotides) under Arabidopsis thaliana (thale cress). RNAcentral's name for it is "ATSL065450". Lineage: Eukaryota; Viridiplantae; Streptophyta; Magnoliopsida; Brassicales; Brassicaceae. The record is from RNAcentral.